Molecule: unclassified non-coding RNA, 396 nt
Filed under: soil metagenome
Description: partial contains 5.8S ribosomal RNA, internal transcribed spacer 2, and large subunit ribosomal RNA
Rfam family: 5.8S ribosomal RNA (bases 1-122)
Source: RNAcentral
GAUGAAGAACGUAGCGAAAUGCGAUACUUGGUGUGAAUUGCAGAAUCCCGUGAACCAUCGAGUCUUUGAACGCAAGUUGCGCCCGAAGCCAUUUGGUUGAGGGCACGUCUGCCUGGGCUUCACAUAUCGUUGCCCGAUGCCUAUUGCACUGUGAUAGGAAAUUCUAGGGCGAAAGAUGGCUUCCCGUGAGCGUUGUUGCCUCGCGGUUGGUUGAAAAUCGAGUCCUUGGUAGGGUGUGCCAUGAUAGAUGGUGGUCGAGUUUGCACGAGACCGAUCAUGUGUGCGCUCCCCAAAAUAUGGACUCUUUGACCCCACACGCGUCUUUUGACGCUCAUGACGAGACCUCAGGUCAGGCGGGGCUACCCGCUGAGUUUAAGCAUAUCAAUAAGCGGAGGA